UAAAAUAUCAAUGCCUGAUUUGGACCU
This 27-nucleotide non-coding RNA is filed under the name Homo sapiens (human). Lineage: Eukaryota; Metazoa; Chordata; Mammalia; Primates; Hominidae. The record is from RNAcentral.